GUGCACAUUUCAUUUUUUUUUAUUAAAAGAAAAAAUAUUUCUCAUAUGCUAAACAAACUUGAAGGUAAAUUAAUAGCAUGCUUAUCUUACCCACUGCUUUCAGUCGCCACCCUUCAGACAAGU
RNAcentral lists this small nucleolar RNA (123 nucleotides) under Ictidomys tridecemlineatus (thirteen-lined ground squirrel). Lineage: Eukaryota; Metazoa; Chordata; Mammalia; Rodentia; Sciuridae. The record is from RNAcentral.